GAGACCUUCGGGUCUAGUGGCGCACGGGUGCGUAACGCGUGGGAAUCUGCCUUUCGGUUCGGAAUAACUCGGGGAAACUCGUGCUAAUACCGGAUAAUGACUACGGUCCAAAGAUUUAUCGCCGAAAGAUGAGCCCGCGUAGGAUUAGCUAGUUGGUGAGGUAAAGGCUCACCAAGGCGACGAUCCUUAGCUGGUCUGAGAGGAUGAUCAGCCACACUGGGACUGAGACACGGCCCAGACUCCUACGGGAGGCAGCAGUGGGGAAUAUUGGACAAUGGGCGAAAGCCUGAUCCAGCAAUGCCGCGUGAGUGAUGAAGGCCUUAGGGUUGUAAAGCUCUUUUACCCGGGAUGAUAAUGACAGUACCGGGAGAAUAAGCCCCGGCUAACUCCGUGCCAGCAGCCGCGGUAAUACGGAGGGGGCUAGCGUUGUUCGGAAUUACUGGGCGUAAAGCGCACGUAGGCGGCUUUGUAAGUUAGAGGUGAAAGCCCGGGGCUCAACUCCGGAAUUGCCUUUAAGACUGCAUCGCUUGAAUCCGGGAGAGGUGAGUGGAAUUCCGAGUGUAGAGGUGAAAUUCGUAGAUAUUCGGAAGAACACCAGUGGCCGAAGGCGGCUCACUGGACCGGUAUGACGCUG
This 634-nucleotide ribosomal RNA is filed under the name Sphingomonas sp. RNAcentral's name for it is "bacterial SSU rRNA". It matches the Rfam family "Bacterial small subunit ribosomal RNA", at positions 68 to 748 of the family's 1533-position model. Lineage: Bacteria; Pseudomonadati; Pseudomonadota; Alphaproteobacteria; Sphingomonadales; Sphingomonadaceae. The record is from RNAcentral.